GCUGUGAAUGUGUUGGACUCGCUGCUUGUGCCUGAGCAGGACAAGGACCAUGGAGCCACUGGCCCACACCAUGAUGCUCAAAAACACAAAGUCAAAAUAAAAAUAUGUGACAGCAUUUAGUGAGUCUCUAAGUUUAUCUUGUGGUAGUUUAGAACAGUAGACAAAUAUAUUUUUUAAAGUAAGGUUUUUGCUGUUCACUGGCCCAGUCAUUUUCAUUGGGGUGUAGGUAUUUAACAGGAGAUGCAAGAUCCAGCAGAGGAAACAGCAGAAGCCAAUGCAUUUUGGAGAUGUUCUGAGCCCCAUCACCCCAGAGAUUUUAGGAUGAAGCUUACUGGCCUGGUAGCCACUCAACAGGCAGGUGAUGCUGAGGGCAACUCCUCUGCUCACCCUGUGGACAUAGAAGACAACUUUACAUCCAGGGUCAUCUAGGAAAGAUUUCCAUCCAAAAGCUGCCAUGGUCUGAGGGAUCCCUUUGGAGAAAAGCA
RNAcentral lists this long non-coding RNA (485 nucleotides) under Lynx pardinus (Iberian lynx). Lineage: Eukaryota; Metazoa; Chordata; Mammalia; Carnivora; Felidae. The record is from RNAcentral.